GGAGCGGUGGCCGAGUGGUUUAAGGUACCGCACUCGAAAUGCGGCGUGCGCCUAAAGCGUACCGAGAGUUCGAAUCUCUCCCGCUCCGCCA
Molecule: transfer RNA, 91 nt
Filed under: Burkholderiales bacterium
Lineage: Bacteria; Pseudomonadati; Pseudomonadota; Betaproteobacteria; Burkholderiales
Also listed under: 1 other name
Description: tRNA-Ser
Rfam family: tRNA
About the family: Transfer RNA (tRNA) molecules are approximately 80 nucleotides in length. Their secondary structure includes four short double-helical elements and three loops (D, anti-codon, and T loops). Further hydrogen bonds mediate the characteristic L-shaped molecular structure. tRNAs have two regions of fundamental functional importance: the anti-codon, which is responsible for specific mRNA codon recognition, and the 3' end, to which the tRNAs corresponding amino acid is attached (by aminoacyl-tRNA synthetases). tRNAs cope with the degeneracy of the genetic code in two manners: having more than one tRNA (with a specific anti-codon) for a particular amino acid; and 'wobble' base-pairing, i.e. permitting non-standard base-pairing at the 3rd anti-codon position.
Source: RNAcentral